AGUGAGUGAGUGAGUGAGGGAGGGAGCGAGAGAGCGAGCGCUAGGGAGGGAGCGAGGGAGGCAGCACGCCGAGGGGAAGGGGCGGAAGUGGAUCCGGCUCUGGCGGAGCUCGAUGCGGCGGCCUCCUCGGAUUUCUCCAAGACGUCCUCCUCCUCCACUACCGACGCGCUCAGCUCCGUCGUCACCGCCGUGGUGCGCACGCCGCCCAAGGACUUCCGCGUCAUCAGGAAGGAGUGGGGGCCCAUCCGAAUCUAGACCGCCUUCCGCGGCUUCCUGGCCAUGAGGGCGCUACGAGGGAUCGUGCGGCUGCAGGCGCUGGUGCGCGGCCGUCGUACGCAGCUGGCCGUCACAUUCAAGUGCAUGCAAGCGCUCGUCAGGGUGCAAGCGUGAGCGAGGUACCCUUAGUUAUUGUUUCUUGUGUCUCCGCCACCUGCGCUGAGGACAAGUCCGACGGCGUUCAGUCCUCCUUCACCAUGGUCUCCCUCAAGUCUGCCAUCUUCUAGCUUGUUGAUGAGUUAAUCAUGCUUGGAGUUCGAAUUGGUGGUGGCUUGAACAAUUUGCCUGGACUUGACCAUGAAGAGUUGUCAGAAGUAUCUAUCAAGUCGUGUCCUGCAGAGGAAUUUUUUUCUCUUCAUGCUCUUGAAGUCCAACAAUUAUGGAAAUAAGGACGACAAUGGCUUGUUGGAAUUCGUUGAAGAAGCUCUUGCUUUGCUCCGUUCGGCAACUCUUGCUCUGAUGAGGUCCCUUCAAGAGGCUAUUGCUGCAGAAUAACCUAGAAGUGAAUAUUUGUCAUUAGCUUUAAAUGGAGAGAAGUUGAACGAGGAGCUUGUGGUUGUGAUUACACUUGUAGAGCUUGUGGCUGUGAUUACCAUUGUAUCCAAGUUAUAUGAUGUAAUAGACUUAUUUUGGUUGUUAUUUGGAGUAUUAUGUGUGCUUUCUGUC
Hordeum vulgare subsp. vulgare (domesticated barley) is the source of this 942-nucleotide long non-coding RNA. RefSeq lists it as uncharacterized. The transcript has 4 exons. Lineage: Eukaryota; Viridiplantae; Streptophyta; Magnoliopsida; Poales; Poaceae. The record is from RefSeq and is a predicted model, not a curated record.